Small nuclear RNA from Carcharodon carcharias (great white shark), 146 nucleotides. RefSeq annotates it as U4 spliceosomal RNA. The transcript has a single exon. Lineage: Eukaryota; Metazoa; Chordata; Chondrichthyes; Lamniformes; Lamnidae. The record is from RefSeq and is a predicted model, not a curated record.
UCCCAAGUGCUCAGGAGCUACAACAGUAAAGCCAAUGAGGUUUAACUGAGGCGCGAUUAUUGCUUAUUGCAAACUUUUCCCAAUACCCUGCUACGGUGACUUGCAACAAAGUCACUAUUAGCAAUUUUUGAUAGUCUCUUCGGAGA